CCCAUCUCCACUUUUCCCUCAAAUCACAUUUCCCGAAUUACAAGCCCUAAUUGGAAGGAGAAAUAGAGGCGCAUCUCUACCCGUCCUCACAUCUUCUCAAAUUCACGCCCGUCGGAGCACCAGCCGUUUCUCGGCUCUCUCUCUCUCUCUCUCUAUAACAACUCAAAAUCAGGGAAACUCCAAUUGAACCCAAACAGCAGCGCCUCCUUCGCGAGGCAGCCACACCACUCACCGGUGACUCCCGCUCCUUCUUCAACGGCUUCCCCACACGUUGCUCUUCCCCAGUGCUCGCAGCACCGCUUCCGGAGUCCAGCAUAGGUCGUCGCUGCUUCGCGAGGCUCCUGCUGUUGUUGCUGUUCGGGCUAGACUCAAGGCACGCCAUCGCCUUUCGUGCUAUUGCUCCAGCGGCGUCACCGCCUCCUCGUAAUAAAGCUAAGUCAUUUCCCCAAUUCCCUUUACGUAUUCCGUAAAUUCCAGAGUUCUCGAUUGAUUAUUGCAUCUACUCAUUAGGAUUUAUGCAGAAGCAUCUUGUUGUGAUUCUGGGCAGUAGCCAUGUGGUAAAAAUGCUACUGAUUUUUUUGGCUAAAAUAGUUUAUGAUCUCCCUUGAUUCGAAUUGUAUGAUGUGUGAAACUUAAGGCUCUAAAUCUUGCGCCUAACAUGAUGUUCGAACUAGAAACAACAUGGUUAAAAUUUGUUUUGUCUGUGCUCUGCAGAGUUGCAGAGUAUAGUUAAACUUGGUGCUUAGGAUUCUUUCUUUUGGGAUUCCUAUUAUGCUGUGCCUUCUCUUCAAGUGUUCAUGCUUCUAUGUUCCUACGAUGUGGAGGAAAGGGUGUUACCUCUUGAAGUAGCUAUUCUCUUUUAAUUUCUGCUCCUAACUCUUCCAAGAUCACUUCUCACUCUGGAACUCCUUGUUGUGAAGUAAGGGAAAGGGGUGAGCUUGUGUUUUAGUAUGAAAAACUUGUGGGGAGGAAGGAAAGAGAUGUUACUUACGGAAAGUAGGGCUGCCUGCAGGAACUUUGCAGAAAACUCUACUCCAACCCCUCAAACUUGCUGGAUUUUUGAUGUGUGUGGAAGGGAGAAAUUUAUGUAUAUGAUGAGGUUUUUAUAGGCCAACUUGGUGUACUUUGGGAGGAUUAAAUGGGGCUGAUAAUCACUUGUUUUCCUGCGCAGCAUCUCUCUUUUUGAUCCUCAGUGCAGCCUUUUACUUAAGAGGCUUGGUGUUAUAUGUGGUGGUAAUGCAGGUUUGACUUGCUCUUUAUGGUUGGGAGAGAACUUGGGCUGCCAAACUGCUGUCCGCGACGGGCUUGCAGCCCCGGGCCCAAUGGGCUGAUCGGAUAGGGCCGAAUUAUCGGGCUUCAAAAGGGCCUGAUGCGGGCUCACAUAGAUUACGCCCGCUGUUUAUAGUCUUGUAAUUGUAGUCACGAUUUCCUUUCUCAAACUCAUAAACUCAUGCACUUAAUUUUGUAAAUUAGCGCGUAGUUCAAGAUGUAAGCGAACACUCUUAGUUCGAAAGUGAAAUCUUUAUAUUCUUCUCGA
This is a long non-coding RNA of Salvia splendens (bonfire salvia), 1537 nucleotides long. RefSeq lists it as uncharacterized. NCBI's taxonomy places the organism in Eukaryota, Viridiplantae, Streptophyta, Magnoliopsida, Lamiales, Lamiaceae. The record is from RefSeq and is a predicted model, not a curated record. The transcript has 3 exons.